Molecule: ribosomal RNA, 253 nt
Filed under: uncultured bacterium
Lineage: Bacteria
Description: partial 16S ribosomal RNA
Rfam family: Bacterial small subunit ribosomal RNA
Source: RNAcentral
UACGAAGGGGGCUAGCGUUGCUCGGAAUUACUGGGCGUAAAGCGCACGUAGGCGGAUUGUUAAGUCGGGGGUGAAAUCCUGGAGCUCAACUCCAGAACUGCCUUCGAUACUGGCGAUCUAGAGUCCGGGAGAGGUGAGUGGAACUGCGAGUGUAGAGGUGAAAUUCGUAGAUAUUCGCAAGAACACCAGUGGCGAAGGCGGCUCACUGGCCCGGUACUGACGCUGAGGUGCGAAAGCGUGGGGAGCAAACAGG